GCCAACUGCUGCAUACGUGGACCAAGGCCAGAAAAAGGACGGGCGGAACCAGACGUGAUUCCUGGCGAUGAUGUUGACAACAAAGAUACAGAUAUCGUGCGGAUGAUGUUGAUCCGAGAGGUCCAAUUGAAGACGGAACUAAUCAUCAACCCG
Molecule: long non-coding RNA, 153 nt
Organism: Bufo bufo (common toad)
Lineage: Eukaryota; Metazoa; Chordata; Amphibia; Anura; Bufonidae
Exons: 4
Source: RefSeq, a predicted model, not a curated record